Molecule: ribosomal RNA, 433 nt
Filed under: uncultured bacterium
Lineage: Bacteria
Description: partial 16S ribosomal RNA
Rfam family: Bacterial small subunit ribosomal RNA
Source: RNAcentral
AACGAACGCUGGCGGCAUGCCUAACACAUGCAAGUCGAACGAGACCUUCGGGUCUAGUGGCGCACGGGUGCGUAACGCGUGGGAACCUGCCCUUAGGUUCGGAAUAACUCCCCGAAAGGGGUGCUAAUACCGGAUAAUGUCUUCGGACCAAAGAUUUAUCGCCUUUGGAUGGGCCCGCGUUGGAUUAGCUAGUUGGUAGGGUAAAAGCCUACCAAGGCGACGAUCCAUAGCUGGUCUGGGAGGAUGAUCAGCCACACUGGGACUGAGACACGGCCCAGACUCCUACGGGAGGCAGCAGUGGGGAAUAUUGGACAAUGGGCGAAAGUCUGAUCCAGCAAUGCCGCGUGAGUGAUGAAGGCCUUAGGGUUGUAAAGCUCUUUUACCCGGGAUGAUAAUGACAGUACCGGGAGAAUAAGCGCCGGCUAACUCCGUG